UAGUUGAAAGUUAAAGAAGCCCUAUCAGAGAAAUUGAUGACCAAACAUGCCAAACUCACAUGUCAUGCAUUCAGUCACUCAUUAUAGCAACAAACACACAAAUAACAUGCACUGGAAGCUUUCGUGCAAUAGUAACCACCAAGUGAAAGAUGUGAAAAUGGAACAGACCUUUGAAAUCAUGUUGACUAUCACUUCUGGAUCUGUAUGAAGAAACUUGUGGGCGAAACCAAUAAAAUGCAUGACCAAAGAGCUGUAGAAUAAGUAGUUAGCUAAUACAAAAACUUGCCAAGAAGAGGUAUAGGCAUGUGGAGUUGACUGGGUAACCUCCUUCAGUGUACUUGCAUUAGACUUCCCCAAAUUUGCA
RNAcentral lists this long non-coding RNA (364 nucleotides) under Nicotiana benthamiana. RNAcentral's name for it is "long non-coding RNA (NBEN_LNC002021)". The record is from RNAcentral. Lineage: Eukaryota; Viridiplantae; Streptophyta; Magnoliopsida; Solanales; Solanaceae.